RNAcentral lists this ribosomal RNA (460 nucleotides) under uncultured bacterium. RNAcentral's name for it is "partial 16S ribosomal RNA". It matches the Rfam family "Bacterial small subunit ribosomal RNA", at positions 338 to 795 of the family's 1533-position model. The record is from RNAcentral.
CCUACGGGCGGCAGCAGUGAGGAAUAUUGGUCAAUGGGCGCGAGCCUGAACCAGCCAAGUAUCGUGAAGGAUGACUGCCCUACGGGUUGUACACUUCUUUUAUAAAGGAAUAAAGUGAGGCACGUGUGCCUUUUUGUCUGUACUUUAUGAAUAAGGAUCUGCUAACUCCGUGCCAGCAGCCGCGGUAAUACGGAGGAUCCGAGCGUUAUCCGGAUUUAUUGGGUUUAAAGGUAGCUUAGAUGGGUUGUUAAGUCAGUUGUGAAAGUUUGCGGCUCAACCGUAAAAUUGCAAUUGAUACUGGCAGUCAUGAGUACAGUUGAGGUAGGCGGAAUUCGUGGUGUAGCGGUGAAAUGCUUAGAUAACACGAAGAACUCCGAUGGCGAAGGCAGCUUACUAAACUGCCACUGACAUUGAUGCUCGAAAGUGUGGGGAUCAAACAGGAUUAGAUACCCGAGUAGUC